GCAGCGCGGGCUUCGGCCUGGCGGCGAGUGGCGGACGGGUGAGGAAUACAUAGGAAUCUGCCCAGUCGUGGGGGAUAACCCGGGGAAACCCGGACUAAUACCGCAUACGACGGUGACGUGAAAGCCGGGGACCUUCGGGCCUGGCGCGAUUGGAUGAGCCUAUGUCGGAUUAGCUAGUUGGCGGGGUAAAGGCCCACCAAGGCGACGAUCCGUAGCUGGUCUGAGAGGAUGAUCAGCCACACUGGGACUGAGACACGGCCCAGACUCCUACGGGAGGCAGCAGUGGGGAAUAUUGGACAAUGGGCGCAAGCCUGAUCCAGCAAUGCCGCGUGGGUGAAGAAGGCCUUCGGGUUGUAAAGCCCUUUUGUACGGGAAGAAAUCAUCCGGGUUAAUACCCUGGGUGGAUGACGGUACCGUAAGAAUAAGCACCGGCUAACUUCGUGCCA
This 446-nucleotide ribosomal RNA is filed under the name uncultured bacterium. Its description in RNAcentral is "bacterial SSU rRNA". It matches the Rfam family "Bacterial small subunit ribosomal RNA", at positions 69 to 510 of the family's 1533-position model. The record is from RNAcentral.